This 444-nucleotide ribosomal RNA is filed under the name uncultured bacterium. RNAcentral describes it as "SSU rRNA". It matches the Rfam family "Bacterial small subunit ribosomal RNA", at positions 26 to 518 of the family's 1533-position model. The record is from RNAcentral.
AGAACGAACGCUGGCGGCAGGCUUAACACAUGCAGGUCGAACGCCCCGCAAGGGGAGUGGCAGACGGGUGAGUAACGCGUGGGAAUCUACCUGGUUCUACGGAAUAACUGAGGGAAACUUCAGCUAAUACCGUAUACGCCCCAAGGGGGAAAGAUUUAUCGGUGCCAGAUGAGCCCGCGUUGGAUUAGCUAGUUGGUGGGGUAAUGGCCUACCAAGGCGACGAUCCAUAGCUGGUCUGAGAGGAUGAUCAGCCACACUGGGACUGAGACACGGCCCAGACUCCUACGGGAGGCAGCAGUGGGGAAUAUUGGACAAUGGGCGAAAGCCUGAUCCAGCCAUGCCGCGUGAGUGAUGAAGGCCUUAGGGUUGUAAAGCUCUUUCAGUGGGGAAGAUAAUGACGGUACCCACAGAAGAAGCCCCGGCUAACUUCGUGCCAGCAGCCGC